This 75-nucleotide transfer RNA is filed under the name bacterium. RNAcentral describes it as "tRNA-Glu". It matches the Rfam family "tRNA". From Rfam's summary of the family: Transfer RNA (tRNA) molecules are approximately 80 nucleotides in length. Their secondary structure includes four short double-helical elements and three loops (D, anti-codon, and T loops). The record is from RNAcentral.
GGCCCUGUCGUCUAGUUUGGUUCAGGACGCCAGGUUCUCAUCCUGGUAACUCGGGUUCAAAUCCCGACGGGGCCG